AAUGAACGUUGGCGGCAUGGAUUAGGCAUGCAAGUCGGGGGAAUCCCAGCAAUGGGGGAACCGGCGUAAGGGGCAGUAAGGCAUGGGCACCUACCUUGGGGUUCGGGAUAGCCAUCAGAGAUGGUGGGUAAUACCGGAUGACGUCGUGAGACCAAAGAUUUAUCGCCCUUAGAGGGGCCCAUGUGAUAUUAGCUAGUUGGUGGGGUAACGGCCCACCAAGACGAAGAUGUCUAGCGGGUGUGAGAGCACGACCCGCGCCACUCGCUCUGAGACACUGGCGAGACACCUACGGGUGGCUGCAGUCGAGGAUCUUCGGCAAUGAGCGCAAGCUUGACCGAGCGAUGCCGCGUGAGCGAUGAAGGCCUUCGGGUUGUAAAGCUCUUUAGUGGGGGAGAAAAGCCGCAAGGUGUGAUCUAUCCCAAAAAUAAGCACGGGCUAAGUUCGUGCCAGCCGCCGCCGUAA
RNAcentral lists this ribosomal RNA (462 nucleotides) under uncultured bacterium. RNAcentral describes it as "partial 16S ribosomal RNA". It matches the Rfam family "Bacterial small subunit ribosomal RNA", at positions 29 to 523 of the family's 1533-position model. The record is from RNAcentral.